GGACGGUUGUUUUGGGGACGUGGAAAGGGGAUGCUGCCAUGUAGGCUUGGACCUGGUGGACUCGGAAGGCCGACUGAAUCUUGACGACCGCGGCUUCCUUGGCGUCACGGGCGCUGCCCUCCGGCGGCGCUGUGGGCGUGGCGCUCGUGACCUCGUGCGGCGCUGCACCUCCGAGAAGCAGUGCGACGACGUGGACGCGAGUUGGCCCUUGCCGUGGCAGCCGGACGCGGCGCUCGUGUCCCUGCCGCUCACCGACGCCGCUGGACGGCGGAAAUUCCAGCGUCUCUUCUCCUUGGCGGCCGGCGCCGGCAGGCCAUCGUCAGUCCCCUUGUCCUUGCCUUCUUGCCGGCCAGGAAGCUUCUGAGCCACCUGCCAGCCUUGCCCAUCUACACAAGAAAACGCUACAAUUCUGCAGCUGCGGCUGCCGCUACUACUUGCUCCCCUCCAUUAGCGUCGAUCUUUGCAGCAGCAUGCAGAGGUAAGCAUCAGACCGAGGAAGAAGCAGAAUGAGGAAUGAGGAAAAAUGAUCCAAUGAUGUCAACAUGACUGAUUUCCCAUUCUCUCAGACUGUCAUUGCCAGAUCAGAGGUGACUCAUCGUGGACUUGCGUGAUGCAGUUUUGGAGCAGAGGCAACAGAACAUUCAGCUCAGAGAUGAACCGGAGAAAGAGAGAAGAGAAAGUCUCCGAUCAUUUUCUGAUGAUGACAGUGUGAUUCUGGGUGCAAGCAUGAAACAAUUUGUAUCAGUAGUUUGUAUUAGGAGUACUUUAUGUAUAAAUGAGAAUGUGUCUGAAUAUUGUCUGAAAAAUGUUGUUUGUCUCAACUACUAUUUUGCGGCAUGCAUCACAACAACAUCAAGCAACAAAUUUGGC
This 870-nucleotide long non-coding RNA is filed under the name Hordeum vulgare. RNAcentral describes it as "long non-coding RNA (HVUL_LNC001493)". The record is from RNAcentral. Lineage: Eukaryota; Viridiplantae; Streptophyta; Magnoliopsida; Poales; Poaceae.